Molecule: long non-coding RNA, 1291 nt
Organism: Bombus terrestris (buff-tailed bumblebee)
Lineage: Eukaryota; Metazoa; Arthropoda; Insecta; Hymenoptera; Apidae
Exons: 2
Source: RefSeq, a predicted model, not a curated record
GUUGCACAACGUACGAGAUACAAGGUACAAAGAAAAAGAGAAUCAAAGGAAUCAAAAAAUGGAACGAUCGACUUCCUCAGCCGUGAAACAAGUCUCCGGAGCACGCGUUGCGUGAUCGUUAUCAGAACGAAAGACAAUGAGAAUCCUCUCCUCCGGGGUAAAAAGGAUCUUCAUAAGGUCACAGGCCAAAUGAUCCAUCGGUCGAGAGGAUGCCCACGUUGAGAUUAUCUCCGGACUCGGCAGAAGAUCGGCGUAAGGUAGUUGCUGAUACGCGUAUAGCAGUGGCUUCACGUCCGAGAAUCCAGUUAGGCCGGAUAACCCAGAUAAACCGGAAAUGUCUUCAGCAGGGCUGUUCCCAGACCCUGCCACACACAUCAGAGCACAGCCUGCUUUAGACACGGAUCCCCCUGACGCGUGAAUUGCAGCGUACCGAACAAUCAAGCAAAUUCGACCAGGUUCGUUAAUGUCGCGUUAAACGAUCGAUCGCGUAUCAUUCCAUUUGUCUUCUCCGUCACGCAUACACAGAUAGUUUUACGCGUAAACGUAGAACAAGAUCUAGAUGACGUUUUUGAGUACUAGAAGCCAGGACUUUUCGUAAUAAACUACGUAAAUAUACUAAUAAACGAGACCAUUCAAUUAUUUCUUUCUCCUCUCUUUCGUUUAGUCACCUGUUGAAAUAGAUAACUUGACGUUAUCUACGCCUUGACCUCUAGUUUCUCCGAUCGUACAAUUUUUAUUUACGCAUAUGUGUAUUUAUUUACUAUCUACACACGUUCCCAUUUCCACUAUGAGUUUGCUUGUAACAUCGAACGAAAUAAAAAGAAAUGAAAGAAAUACGUGUCACACCAAUGUGGAUAAUAAAGCAGAAGUGACGAUCAAAGCUAACUCAACGAUUUGAAAAAGCAUCGAAAACGAGUAUGCACCUAAUUUGAAUGAGAUACUCGAACAUACACAAUAUGAAAUUUUUAUCAAUCAAAUUAUAAAUUCUAUCAUACACCCUAACAUACAUUUUCCAAUAUUAACCAUAAUGAAUCGAUUUAUGAACUGAAUUUUACCAACACGUACGCAUUGAAAUGUAUACAUUGCCCUAUUCUUCUCUAAUUUAUAAAAUUUGUACACAUAUCAUACAGUUUACCAUGAAAUAUGAGAUUGAAUGCAAUUAUAAAAUACACAGACAUAUAUAAUAUCAAAAUAUACACAAAUUGUGCAAGAUAAAUAUAAUAUAUUCUUAAAAUAACAUGCAUAUGAUUAUGUCUUCUACUAUUGUCUAUAAAGCGAUAUCGUAAUUUCA